RNAcentral lists this ribosomal RNA (468 nucleotides) under uncultured bacterium. RNAcentral describes it as "partial 16S ribosomal RNA". It matches the Rfam family "Bacterial small subunit ribosomal RNA", at positions 28 to 507 of the family's 1533-position model. The record is from RNAcentral.
GACGAACGCUGGCGGCGUGCUUAACACAUGCAAGUCGAACGGAAAGGCCCUGCUUUUGUGGGGUGCUCGAGUGGCGAACGGGUGAGUAACACGUGAGUAACCUGCCCUUGACUUUGGGAUAACUUCAGGAAACUGGGGCUAAUACCGGAUAGGAGCUCCUGCUGCAUGGUGGGGGUUGGAAAGUUUCGGCGGUUGGGGAUGGACUCGCGGCUUAUCAGCUUGUUGGUGGGGUAGUGGCUUACCAAGGCUUUGACGGGUAGCCGGCCUGAGAGGGUGACCGGCCACAAUGGGACUGCGAUACGGCCCAGACUCCUACGGGAGGCAGCAGUGGGGAAUAUGACACAAUGGGCGGAAGCCUGAUGCAGCAACGCCGCGUGCGGGAUGACGGCCUUCGGGUUGUGAACCGCUUUCGCCUGUGACGAAGCGUGAGUGACGGUAAUGAGUAAAGAAGCACCGGCUAACUACGUG